Molecule: transfer RNA, 74 nt
Filed under: Candidatus Hakubella thermalkaliphila
Lineage: Bacteria; Bacillati; Actinomycetota; Candidatus Hakubellales; Candidatus Hakubellaceae
Description: Candidatus Hakubanella thermoalkaliphilus tRNA-Pro
Source: RNAcentral
UCGGGACGAGAGGAUUUGAACCUCCGACCCCCUGAACCCCAUUCAGGGGCGCUACCAAGCUUCGCCACGUCCCG